GACGAACGCUGGCGGCGUGCUUAACACAUGCCAGUCGAACGGAAAGGCCCUGCUUUUGUGGGGUGCUCGAGUGGCGAACGGGUGAGUAACACGUGAGUAACCUGCCCUUGACUUUGGGAUAACUUCAGGAAACUGGGGCUAAUACCGGAUAGGAGCUCCUGCUGCAUGGUGGGGGUUGGAAAGUUUCGGCGGUUGGGGAUGGACUCGCGGCUUAUCAGCUUGUUGGUGGGGUAGUGGCUUACCAAGGCUUUGACGGGUAGCCGGCCUGAGAGGGUGACCGGCCACAUUGGGACUGAGAUACGGCCCAGACGCCUACGGGAGGCAGCAGUGGGGAAUAUUGCACAAUGGGCGGAAGCCUGAUGCAGCAACGCCGCGUGCGGGAUGACGGCCUUCGGGUUGUAAACCGCUUUCGCCUGUGACGAAGCGUGAGUGACGGUAAUGGGUAAAGGAGCACCGGCUAACUACGU
This 467-nucleotide ribosomal RNA is filed under the name uncultured bacterium. RNAcentral describes it as "partial 16S ribosomal RNA". It matches the Rfam family "Bacterial small subunit ribosomal RNA", at positions 28 to 506 of the family's 1533-position model. The record is from RNAcentral.